RNAcentral lists this long non-coding RNA (706 nucleotides) under Brassica napus (rape). RNAcentral's name for it is "long non-coding RNA (BNAP_LNC021945)". Lineage: Eukaryota; Viridiplantae; Streptophyta; Magnoliopsida; Brassicales; Brassicaceae. The record is from RNAcentral.
AACUACCACCUCAACUCUAAUACAUACGAUUUUGGUUGCUGUUGAUUAAUUAUUUGAGUUACCAAUUUUACAAAGGAGAUAACUCAAAAUUGUACCUCAAAUAUAACACAUUGUAACUCAAACACAAACUCAAAAAAUAAAAAUAAAACAAAUCAUUGGUAACAUUUUUGAGUUAUAGCCACAAAUCAAACUUAAUCAAUAGUAAUUCAUGUCACCAAUUAAAGCCUUAGUUUAAUCUGUUUUGUCUAAAGUUUAUUUUAUUUUUUAUUUUUAAGUUAAUCCAGUUGGAACAUGUGGCCAUAUCUAUACAAUUAAAAAAAAUCAUUCCCAAAAUCUAUUUGAAAAAUAUUGUUCGAUCUUUUUAUUAACUAAUUACUUUUUGAUCCUACCUAAUAUUUUUCUAAUUAUCUUUAAUUAUACGGUAGAAUUAAUAUUGUUACCGAUUCAUGUACAUUUAAUAGUAUAACACAUUAAACCUUUUAUAAGUAUGUUGAUGAUCGUAGCAAACACUUAUAUCUUCAUGAGAUUCAUAUACAUUUAAUAGUAUAAUAACACAUCAAUAAGUAUCAAUUCAUAUACAUUUAAUAAAAUUACACAUCAAAUAAAUACCAUUUCUAUAUACUAUAGCAAUGACUUUAUUCCCAGCCAAGAUCUAUAACUUCUGGUUUUUCUUCUUCUCCCUACCUCAUUAACAGACAGCAAAUUA